UAUUUUUAAAAUGAUAGUAUGUAUAGUUGUGUGAUUUAUUAGUAUAAAUAUGUUUCGCUGUUACUUGUUGUAUUGAUCUUGUUUAACUUGAGUUUCCGUCUUCAGAAGCAGAGGAGCGUGAGUGCUCUCUCUCUCUUUCACCUGUCUGCAAACACGGAAGAGAAGCAGCGCGAGGAAGAGGUGUUUCUCUGCUAUGGAUCAGUGUGAGGACAGAGAGGAGGGAGUCCCUCCCUCUAAAAGCUCUCUGUGUGGGGAACAUGACAGCCAGACCAAAGCUCAG
Molecule: long non-coding RNA, 280 nt
Organism: Scomber japonicus (chub mackerel)
Lineage: Eukaryota; Metazoa; Chordata; Actinopteri; Scombriformes; Scombridae
Exons: 3
Source: RefSeq, a predicted model, not a curated record